UCCGGCUUAUCACCGGCAGUCCCUUUAGAGUGCCCAACUAAAUGGUAGCAACUAAGGACGGGGGUUGCGCUCGUUGCGGGACUUAACCCAACAUCUCACGACUCGAGCUGACGACAGCCAUGCAGCACCUGUCUCCGGUCCAGCCGAACUGAAGGACUCCGUCUCUGGAGUCCGCGACCGGGAUGUCAAGGGCUGGUAAGGUUCUGCGCGUUGCGUCGAAUUAAACCACAUGCUCCACCGCUUGUGCGGGCCCCCGUCAAUUCCUUUGAGUUUUAGCCUUGCGGCCGUACUCCCCAGGCGGGGAACUUAAUGCGUUAGCUGCGACACGGAAGCCGUGGAAUGGCCCCCACAUCUAGUUCCCAACGUUUACGGCGUGGACUAC
RNAcentral lists this unclassified non-coding RNA (382 nucleotides) under uncultured Alphaproteobacteria bacterium. RNAcentral's name for it is "contains 16S-23S intergenic spacer region". Lineage: Bacteria; Pseudomonadati; Pseudomonadota; Alphaproteobacteria. The record is from RNAcentral.